Molecule: ribosomal RNA, 253 nt
Filed under: uncultured bacterium
Lineage: Bacteria
Description: partial 16S ribosomal RNA
Rfam family: Bacterial small subunit ribosomal RNA
Source: RNAcentral
UACGUAGGGACCAAGCGUUGUUCGGAUUUACUGGGCGUAAAGAGCUCGUAGGCGGCUUGUUGCGUCGUCCGUGAAAACCUGUGGCUCAACUACAGGCUUGCGGUCGAUACGGGCGGGCUGGAGUUCGGUAGGGGAGACUGGAAUUCCUGGUGUAGCGGUGAAAUGCGCAGAUAUCAGGAGGAACACCGGUGGCGAAGGCGGGUCUCUGGGCCGAUACUGACGCUGAGGAGCGAAAGCGUGGGGAGCGAACAGG